CGGAAAAGAAACAUGGUCGCGCCGCAGGUUGAUGAUGAAAUCUUCUCGCGGCGAGGAAAAGUCCGGGCUCCGCCGGAAAGAAUGCCGGGCAAUAACCGGGGGAUUUCGAAAGAAUCGCUUUGCGAAAAUUUUGAAAUUCACAGAGAGCGCAACAGAAAACAUACUGCCCGUUUAUGCGGGUGAUGGUGAAAAGGCGUGGUAAGAGCACACCGGCCGCUCGGCAACGGGCGGCGCAUUGCAAGCCUCAUUUGGAGC
This 255-nucleotide RNase P RNA is filed under the name Treponemataceae bacterium. RNAcentral describes it as "partial RNase P RNA component class A". It matches the Rfam family "Bacterial RNase P class A", at positions 1 to 223 of the family's 367-position model. From Rfam's summary of the family: Ribonuclease P (RNase P) is a ubiquitous endoribonuclease, found in archaea, bacteria and eukarya as well as chloroplasts and mitochondria. Its best characterised activity is the generation of mature 5'-ends of tRNAs by cleaving the 5'-leader elements of precursor-tRNAs. Lineage: Bacteria; Pseudomonadati; Spirochaetota; Spirochaetia; Treponematales; Treponemataceae. The record is from RNAcentral.